Molecule: ribosomal RNA, 429 nt
Filed under: Gemmatimonadota bacterium
Lineage: Bacteria; Pseudomonadati; Gemmatimonadota
Description: Gemmatimonadetes bacterium partial 16S ribosomal RNA
Rfam family: Bacterial small subunit ribosomal RNA
Source: RNAcentral
UAGGGAAUCUUCGGCAAUGGACGAAAGUCUGACCGAGCAACGCCGCGUGAGUGAAGAAGGUUUUCGGAUCGUAAAACUCUGUUGUUAGAGAAGAACAAGGACGUUAGUAACUGAACGUCCCCUGACGGUAUCUAACCAGAAAGCCACGGCUAACUACGUGCCAGCAGCCGCGGUAAUACGUAGGUGGCAAGCGUUGUCCGGAUUUAUUGGGCGUAAAGCGAGCGCAGGCGGUUUCUUAAGUAUGAUGUGAAAGCCCCCGGCUCAACCGGGGAGGGUCAUUGGAAACUGGGAGACUUGAGUGCAGAAGAGGAGAGUGGAAUUCCAUGUGUAGCGGUGAAAUGCGUAGAUAUAUGGAGGAACACCAGUGGCGAAGGCGGCUCUCUGGUCUGUAACUGACGCUGAGGCUCGAAAGCGUGGGGAGCAAACAGG